CCCUUAGAUGUCCUGGGCCGCACGCGCGCUACACUGACAUGUUCAACAAGCCUCCUAGUUCGACAGGAUUUGGGAAAUCUUUGAACGCAUGUCGUGAUAGGGAUAGAUCAUUGCAAUUAUUGAUCUUGAACGAGGAAUUCCUAGUAAGCGCGAGUCAUCAGCUCGCGUUGACUACGUCCCUGCCCUUUGUACACACCGCCCGUCGCUCCUACCGAUUGAAUGGUCCGGUGAAGUGUUCGGAUCGCGCCGACGUGGGCGGUUCGCCGCCGGCGACGUCGCGAGAAGUCCACUGAACCUUAUCAUUUAGAGGAAGGAGAAGUCGUAACA
RNAcentral lists this ribosomal RNA (327 nucleotides) under uncultured eukaryote. RNAcentral's name for it is "partial 18S ribosomal RNA". It matches the Rfam family "Eukaryotic small subunit ribosomal RNA", at positions 1470 to 1796 of the family's 1831-position model. The record is from RNAcentral.